This 1842-nucleotide ribosomal RNA is filed under the name Salmonella enterica. RNAcentral describes it as "partial 23S ribosomal RNA". It matches the Rfam family "Bacterial large subunit ribosomal RNA", at positions 1109 to 2925 of the family's 2925-position model. The record is from RNAcentral. RNAcentral also lists the same sequence under 1 other name. Lineage: Bacteria; Pseudomonadati; Pseudomonadota; Gammaproteobacteria; Enterobacterales; Enterobacteriaceae.
GAAGCAGCCAUCAUUUAAAGAAAGCGUAAUAGCUCACUGGUCGAGUCGGCCUGCGCGGAAGAUGUAACGGGGCUAAACCAUGCACCGAAGCUGCGGCAGCGACGCUGAUGCGUUGUUGGGUAGGGGAGCGUUCUGUAAGCCUGCGAAGGUGGCCUGUGAGGGUUGCUGGAGGUAUCAGAAGUGCGAAUGCUGACAUAAGUAACGAUAAAGCGGGUGAAAAGCCCGCUCGCCGGAAGACCAAGGGUUCCUGUCCAACGUUAAUCGGGGCAGGGUGAGUCGACCCCUAAGGCGAGGCCGAAAGGCGUAGUCGAUGGGAAACGGGUUAAUAUUCCCGUACUUGGUGUUACUGCGAAGGGGGGACGGAGAAGGCUAUGUUGGCCGGGCGACGGUUGUCCCGGUUUAAGCGUGUAGGUGUGUGUUCCAGGUAAAUCCGGUUCACUUUAACACUGAGGCGUGAUGACGAGGCACUACGGUGCUGAAGCAACAAAUGCCCUGCUUCCAGGAAAAGCCUCUAAGCAUCAGGUAACAUCAAAUCGUACCCCAAACCGACACAGGUGGUCAGGUAGAGAAUACCAAGGCGCUUGAGAGAACUCGGGUGAAGGAACUAGGCAAAAUGGUGCCGUAACUUCGGGAGAAGGCACGCUGACACGUAGGUGAAGUGAUUUACUCAUGGAGCUGAAGUCAGUCGAAGAUACCAGCUGGCUGCAACUGUUUAUUAAAAACACAGCACUGUGCAAACACGAAAGUGGACGUAUACGGUGUGACGCCUGCCCGGUGCCGGAAGGUUAAUUGAUGGGGUCAGCGCAAGCGAAGCUCCUGAUCGAAGCCCCGGUAAACGGCGGCCGUAACUAUAACGGUCCUAAGGUAGCGAAAUUCCUUGUCGGGUAAGUUCCGACCUGCACGAAUGGCGUAAUGAUGGCCAGGCUGUCUCCACCCGAGACUCAGUGAAAUUGAACUCGCUGUGAAGAUGCAGUGUACCCGCGGCAAGACGGAAAGACCCCGUGAACCUUUACUAUAGCUUGACACUGAACAUUGAGCCUUGAUGUGUAGGAUAGGUGGGAGGCUUUGAAGUGUGGACGCCAGUCUGCAUGGAGCCGACCUUGAAAUACCACCCUUUAAUGUUUGAUGUUCUAACGUGGACCCGUGAUCCGGGUUGCGGACAGUGUCUGGUGGGUAGUUUGACUGGGGCGGUCUCCUCCUAAAGAGUAACGGAGGAGCACGAAGGUUGGCUAAUCCUGGUCGGACAUCAGGAGGUUAGUGCAAUGGCAUAAGCCAGCUUGACUGCGAGCGUGACGGCGCGAGCAGGUGCGAAAGCAGGUCAUAGUGAUCCGGUGGUUCUGAAUGGAAGGGCCAUCGCUCAACGGAUAAAAGGUACUCCGGGGAUAACAGGCUGAUACCGCCCAAGAGUUCAUAUCGACGGCGGUGUUUGGCACCUCGAUGUCGGCUCAUCACAUCCUGGGGCUGAAGUAGGUCCCAAGGGUAUGGCUGUUCGCCAUUUAAAGUGGUACGCGAGCUGGGUUUAGAACGUCGUGAGACAGUUCGGUCCCUAUCUGCCGUGGGCGCUGGAGAACUGAGGGGGGCUGCUCCUAGUACGAGAGGACCGGAGUGGACGCAUCACUGGUGUUCGGGUUGUCAUGCCAAUGGCACUGCCCGGUAGCUAAAUGCGGAAGAGAUAAGUGCUGAAAGCAUCUAAGCACGAAACUUGCCCCGAGAUGAGUUCUCCCUGAGACUUUAGGUCUCCUGAAGGAACGUUGAAGACGACGACGUUGAUAGGCCGGGUGUGUAAGCGCAGCGAUGCGUUGAGCUAACCGGUACUAAUGAACCGUGAGGCUUAACCUUACA